This 484-nucleotide ribosomal RNA is filed under the name uncultured bacterium. Its description in RNAcentral is "partial 16S ribosomal RNA". It matches the Rfam family "Bacterial small subunit ribosomal RNA", at positions 30 to 507 of the family's 1533-position model. The record is from RNAcentral.
AUUGAACGCUGGCGGCAGGCCUAACACAUGCAAGUCGAGCGGAUGAAGGGAGCUUGCUCCUGGAUUCAGCGGCGGACGGGUGAGUAAUGCCUAGGAAUCUGCCUGGCAGUGGGGGAUAACGUCCGGAAACGGGCGCUAAUACCGCAUACGUCCUGAGGGAGAAAGUGGGGGUUCUUCGGACCUCACGCUAUCAGAUGAGCCUAGGUCGGAUUAGCUAGUUGGUGGGGUAAAGGCCUACCAAGGCGACGAUCCGUAACUGGUCUGAGAGGAUGAUCAGUCACACUGGAACUGAGACACGGUCCAGACUCCUACGGGAGGCAGCAGUGGGGAAUAUUGGGCAAUGGGCGAAAGCCUGACCCAGCCAUGCCGCGUGUGUGAAGAAGGUCUUCGGAUUGUAAAGCACUUUAAGUUGGGAGGAAGAACAGUAAGAUAAUACCUUGCUGUUUUGACGUUACCAACAGAAUAAGCACCGGCUAACUUCGUG